RNAcentral lists this ribosomal RNA (496 nucleotides) under uncultured bacterium. RNAcentral's name for it is "partial 16S ribosomal RNA". It matches the Rfam family "Bacterial small subunit ribosomal RNA", at positions 29 to 507 of the family's 1533-position model. The record is from RNAcentral.
ACGAACGCUGGCGGCGUGCCUAAUACAUGCAAGUUGAGCGCUGAAGGUUGGUACUUGUACCAACUGGAUGAGCAGCGAACGGGUGAGUAACGCGUGGGGAAUCUGCCUUUGAGCGGGGGACAACAUUUGGAAACGAAUGCUAAUACCGCAUAAAAACUUUAAACACAAGUUUUAAGUUUGAAAGAUGCAAUUGCAUCACUCAAGGAUGAUCCCGCGUUGUAUUAGCUAGUUGGUGAGGUAAAGGCUCACCAAGGCGAUGAUACAUAGCCGACCUGAGAGGGUGAUCGGCCACAUUGGGACUGAGACACGGCCCAAACUCCUACGGGAGGCAGCAGUAGGGAAUCUUCGGCAAUGGACGAAAGUCUGACCGAGCAACGCCGCGUGAGUGAAGAAGGUUUUCGGAUCGUAAAACUCUGUUGGUAGAGAAGAACGUUGGUGAGAGUGGAAAGCUCAUCAAGUGACGGUAACUACCCAGAAAGGGACGGCUAACUACGUG